GAAAUUCGAUUCCGUAAGUAGCGGCGAGCGAACGCGGAAGAGCCCAAACCAAUAAAGUUUUCUUUAUUGGGGUUGCGGACAUAUCAUAACGAAGAGGUAUCGUAAUUGAAGAGGUUUGGAAAGACCCGCCACAGAAGGUAAUAGUCCUGUAUGUUAAACGAGAAAACUUUAGAUAUGAUCCAGAGUACCACGGGACACGUGAAACCCUGUGGGAAGCAGGAG
This 222-nucleotide ribosomal RNA is filed under the name Clostridioides difficile. Its description in RNAcentral is "partial 23S ribosomal RNA". It matches the Rfam family "Bacterial large subunit ribosomal RNA", at positions 226 to 449 of the family's 2925-position model. The record is from RNAcentral. Lineage: Bacteria; Bacillati; Bacillota; Clostridia; Peptostreptococcales; Peptostreptococcaceae.